AUUUUAAACAAAAAGUGGCUGAGUAUAAAUUCUUCCAUCAUACCCACCCCCAAACCUACCUUCCAAAUACAUCAUCACUAGGUCACUUUCUAUUUUCCUUAAUGCAGACUUAAUUUUUUUAUAGCCCCAGGGGCUAAAGUGAGCAAGGCUGUCUUCUACAAUCCAGACAGAUAGAUGCGUAUGGGGUAUGAGCCAGACUCCAAGAGAGGAACUUCACACUCCUACCACUGCUGCCGGGGAUCCUGCAAGACUGCAGUUACAGCCCCGAGCCCUGUGGGGAGAGCCAAGCUCAGUGCACCUGCCUGACCCCAGAGCCCCAGCAGCACUGACCUCUCUCAGCAAGCAAGCUAUGUGCCCAAUAUCCCCAAGAGGACGUUCCACUGAAGCCACUGGGGACAGUCCUCAUGCAAGGGUGCAGAUGAAGGGCCCAGGGGAGCUGGGCCAACGCGAAGGGAGAAUAUCCCCCCCCAUCGCGUCCCCCUCCCUGGACCUGUGGUGUCUGUAAGGCCUUCCUGGGGAUGGGGGCAUCAGAGCUGCGAGAGGACAGCAGGAAAAGUGUCUAAGUGUUAUUCAUUAAUUAAUGGUCUUUGGGGAUUAGAUUUUAUCUAUUGUUAGUUUUUAAUCUUUUCCAACUUUCCUGAAACUUGCCUAUUCUUCCCCCACCCUUUUGAAAGAUUGUGCUAAAAAGUACAUCACUUUAAAAUGCACCAUUGUGGCCAUUUUUAAGUGUUCAGUUCAGUGGUGUCCAGUUCAUUCAUGUUGUGUACAGAUCUCUAGAACUUUUUAUCUUGCAAAACUCUUCCUUUAAUUUUUAAUGGAAAAAUAAUAUAGAUUAUUUUUAACCUAAUUAAACUUAAAAGUUUUUGCACAGCAAAAGAAACCAUAAACAAAAUGAAAAGACAACCCACAGAAUGGGAGAAAAAAUUUGCAAAUGAUGCGAAUGACAAGGGAUGCAUCUCCAAAAUACACACUCAACUCAUUCAAAAAAUGGGGAGAAGAUCUAAAUAGACAUUUCUUUCUCCAAAGAAGACAUAUAGAUAACCAAAAAAACACAUGAAAAGAUGCUCAACUAAUUAUUAGAGAAAUGAAAAUCAAAACUACUAUUAGGUAGCACUUUACACCAAUCAGACCAUAAUUAAAACAUCUACAAACAAUAAAUGCUGGAGAGAGUUUGGAGAAAAGAGAGCCCUCCUACACUAUUGGUGGGAGGGUAAAUGGGUACAACCACUGUGGAAAACAGUAUGGAGUUCCUCAAAAAACUAAAAAUAGAACUACCAUAUGAUCCAGCAAUCCCACUCCUGGCCAUCGAUCUGGAGAAAAUCUUAACUCAAAAAGACACAUGCACCCCUACGAUCACAGCAGCACUAUUUACAAAAGCCAAUACAUGGAAGCAACCUAAAUGUCCAUCCACAGAGGCAUGGAUAAAGAAGAUGUGGUACAUAUUUACAAUGGAAUAUUACUCCGCCACAAAAAAUGAUGAAAUAAUGCCAUUUGCAGCAACAUGGAUGCAUCGAAAUUAUCACACUAAGUGAAUCAGAAAGACAAAUACCAUAUGCUAUCACUUACAUGUGGAAUCUAAAAUAUGACACAAAUGGAGUUCCCGUUGUGGCUCAGUGGUUAACGAAUCCGACUAGGAACCAUGGGGUUGUGGGUUCAAUCCCUGGCCUUGCUCAGUGGGUUAAGGAUCCUGCAUUGCUGUGAGCUGUGGUGUAGGUCGCAGACGUGGCUCGGAUCCUGCACUGCUGUGGCUCUGGCGUAGGCUGGCAGCUACAGCUCCGAUUUGACCCCUAGCCUGGGAACCUCCAUGUGCCGCUGGAGCGGCCCUAGAAAUGGCAAAAAGACAAAAAAAAAAAAAUAAAAUAAAAUAAAGUAUGACACAAAUAAACAUCUACAAAACAGAAAUAGACUCACAGACACAGAAAACAGACUUUUGGGUGCCAAAGGGGAGGAGGUUGGGGGUUGGGUGGUUUGGAAGUUGGGGUUAGAAGAUGUAAGCUAUUAUAUAUAGGUUGGAGAAACAACAAGGUCCUACUGUAUAGCACAAGGAACUGUACUCAAUAUCCUGUGAUUAAACCAUAAAGGCAAAGAAUAUGAAAAAAAGAAUAUAUAUAUAACUGAAUUGCUUUACUGUACAGCAGAAAUCAACACAACUACUUCCAUUAAAAAAAAUCCUCAUAAAGGCGGGCCUCUUCACCUUCUUCCUCCACCUCAGCCUCUGAUGGGGACUCUCCAGAGCCAAAGACCCCAGCCCCAU
RNAcentral lists this long non-coding RNA (2254 nucleotides) under Sus scrofa (pig). RNAcentral's name for it is "lncRNA (ENSSSCG00065020616.1)". The record is from RNAcentral. Lineage: Eukaryota; Metazoa; Chordata; Mammalia; Artiodactyla; Suidae.